RNAcentral lists this ribosomal RNA (482 nucleotides) under uncultured bacterium. RNAcentral's name for it is "partial 16S ribosomal RNA". It matches the Rfam family "Bacterial small subunit ribosomal RNA", at positions 28 to 507 of the family's 1533-position model. The record is from RNAcentral.
GAUGAACGCUAGCGGCAGGCCUAAUACAUGCAAGUCGGACGGGAUUCAGGAGCUUGCUUCUGAUGAGAGUGGCGCACGGGUGCGUAACACGUAUGUAACCUACCUUUAUCAGGGUGAUAGCCUCUCGAAAGAGCGAUUAAGCCCGCAUAAAAUCACAGCACAGCAUUGUGUAAUGAUCAAAUAUUUAUAGGAUAAAGAUGGGCAUGCGGAACAUUAGCUAGAUGGCGGGGUAACGGCCCACCAUGGCGACGAUGUUUAGGGGAUCUGGGAGGAUGGCCCCCCACACUGGUACUGAGACACGGACCAGACUCCUACGGGAGGCAGCAGUAAGGAAUAUUGGUCAAUGGGCGGAAGCCUGAACCAGCCAUGCCGCGUGCAGGAAGACGGCCCUACGGGUUGUAAACUGCUUUUAUACGGGAAUAAACCCAGAUACGUGUAUCUGGCUGAAUGUACUGUAAGAAUAAGGAUCGGCUAACUCCGUG